GCAAGCGUUGUCCGGAAUUAUUGGGCGUAAAGAGCUCGUAGGCGGCUUGUCACGUCGGAUGUGAAAGCCCGAGGCUUAACCUCGGGUCUGCAUUCGAUACGGGCUAGCUAGAGUGUGGUAGGGGAGAUCGGAAUUCCUGGUGUAGCGGUGAAAUGCGCAGAUAUCAGGAGGAACACCGGUGGCGAAGGCGGAUCUCUGGGCCAUUACUGACGCUGAGGAGCGAAAGCGUGGGGAGCGAACAGG
RNAcentral lists this ribosomal RNA (243 nucleotides) under uncultured bacterium. RNAcentral's name for it is "partial 16S ribosomal RNA". It matches the Rfam family "Bacterial small subunit ribosomal RNA", at positions 534 to 776 of the family's 1533-position model. The record is from RNAcentral.